RNAcentral lists this ribosomal RNA (301 nucleotides) under uncultured bacterium. RNAcentral's name for it is "partial 16S ribosomal RNA". It matches the Rfam family "Bacterial small subunit ribosomal RNA", at positions 509 to 807 of the family's 1533-position model. The record is from RNAcentral.
CAGUCGCCGCGGUAAUACAUAGGGUGCGAGCGUUAAUCGGAAAUACUGGGCGUAAAGCGUGCGCAGGCGGUUCGUUAAGACAGAUGUGAAAUCCCCGGGCUUAACCUGGGAACUGCAUUUGUGACUGGCAAGCUAGAGUGUGGCAGAGGGGGGUGGAAUUCCGCGUGUAGCGGUGAAAUGCGUAGAGAUCGGGAGGAACAUCAGUGGCGAAGGCGGCCAUCUGGGACAACACUGACGCUGAGGCACGAAAGCGUGGGGAGCAAACAGGAUUAGAUACCCCCGUAGUCCCUGUCUCUUAUAC